AUUGAACGCUGGCGGCAGGCCUAACACAUGCAAGUCGAGCGGAUGAAGGGAGCUUGCUCCUGGAUUCAGCGGCGGACGGGUGAGUAAUGCCUAGGAAUCUGCCUGGUAGUGGGGGAUAACGUCCGGAAACGGGCGCUCAUACCGCAUACGUCCUGAGGGCGAACGUGGGGGAUCUUCGGACCUUACGCUAUCAGAUGAGCCUAGGUCGGAUUAGCUAGUUGGUGGGGUAAAGGCCUACCAAGGCGACGAUCCGUAACUGGUCUGAGAGGAUGAUCAGUCACACUGGAACUGAGACACGGUCCAGACUCCUACGGGAGGCAGCAGUGGGGAAUAUUGGACAAUGGGCGAAAGCCUGAUCCAGCCAUGCCGCGUGGGUGAAGAAGGUCUUCGGAUUGUAAAGCACUUUAAGUUGGGAGGAAGGGCAGUAAGUUAAUACCUUGCUGCUUUGACGGUACCAACAGAAUAAGCACCGGCUAACUUCGUG
Molecule: ribosomal RNA, 484 nt
Filed under: uncultured bacterium
Lineage: Bacteria
Description: partial 16S ribosomal RNA
Rfam family: Bacterial small subunit ribosomal RNA
Source: RNAcentral